UGGGUGUGGAAGUACAGCAAUGUAUGAAGCUUACCAGUACUAAUGAUCCGAGAGACUUAA
RNAcentral lists this ribosomal RNA (60 nucleotides) under Francisella tularensis subsp. tularensis 1378. RNAcentral describes it as "partial 23S ribosomal RNA". The record is from RNAcentral. Lineage: Bacteria; Pseudomonadati; Pseudomonadota; Gammaproteobacteria; Thiotrichales; Francisellaceae.